This 20-nucleotide unclassified non-coding RNA is filed under the name Chlamydomonas reinhardtii. Its description in RNAcentral is "small RNA Cre_2203". Lineage: Eukaryota; Viridiplantae; Chlorophyta; Chlorophyceae; Chlamydomonadales; Chlamydomonadaceae. The record is from RNAcentral.
UACCGUGUGCAAUGUUUCAG